GGGCGUGWGCWGCUACCAUGCAGUCGAGCGGCAGCACGGGUACUUGUACCUGGUGGCGAGCGGCGGACRGGUGAGUAAUGCCUAGGAAUCUGCCUAGUAGUGGGGGAUAACGUCYGGAAACGGGCGCUAAUACCGCAUACGUCCUACGGGAGAAAGUGGGGGAUCUUCGGACCUCACGCUAUUAGAUGAGCCUAGGUCGGAUUAGCUAGUUGGUGAGGUAAUGGCUCACCAAGGCUACGAUCCGUAACUGGUCUGAGAGGAUGAUCAGUCACACUGGAACUGAGACACGGUCCAGACUCCUACGGGAGGCAGCAGUGGGGAAUAUUGGACAAUGGGCGAAAGCCUGAUCCAGCCAUGCCGCGUGUGUGAAGAAGGUCUUCGGAUUGUAAAGCACUUUAAGUUGGGAGGAAGGGCAGUUACCUAAUACGUGAUUGUUUUGACGUUACCGACAGAAUAAGCACCGGCUAACUCUGUGCCAGCAGCCGCGGUAAUACAGAGGGUGCAAGCGUUAAUCGGAAUUACUGGGCGUAAAGCGCGCGUAGGUGGUUUGUUAAGUUGAAUGUGAAAGCCCCGGGCUCAACCUGGGAACUGCAUCCAAAACUGGCAAGCUAGAGUAUGGUAGAGGGUGGUGGAAUUUCCUGUGUAGCGGUGAAAUGCGUAGAUAUAGGAAGGAACACCAGUGGCGAAGGCGACCACCUGGACUGAUACUGACACUGAGGUGCGAAAGCGUGGGGAGCAAACAGGAUUAGAUACCCUGGUAGUCCACGCCGUAAACGAUGUCAACUAGCCGUUGGGAGCCUUGAGCUCUUAGUGGCGCAGCUAACGCAUUAAGUUGACCGCCUGGGGAGUACGGCCGCAAGGUUAAACUCAAUGAAUUGACGGGGCCCGCACAGCGUGGAGCAUGUGGUUUAAUUCGAAGCACGCGAGAACCUUACAGCCUUGACAUCCAAUGACUUUCUAGAGAUAGAUUGUGCCUUCGGACAUUGAGACAGUGCUGCA
Molecule: ribosomal RNA, 999 nt
Filed under: Pseudomonas fluorescens
Lineage: Bacteria; Pseudomonadati; Pseudomonadota; Gammaproteobacteria; Pseudomonadales; Pseudomonadaceae
Description: bacterial SSU rRNA
Rfam family: Bacterial small subunit ribosomal RNA
Source: RNAcentral